This 786-nucleotide ribosomal RNA is filed under the name uncultured bacterium. RNAcentral describes it as "bacterial SSU rRNA". It matches the Rfam family "Bacterial small subunit ribosomal RNA", at positions 97 to 913 of the family's 1533-position model. The record is from RNAcentral.
GGCGGACGGCUGAGUAACGCGUAGGAACGUACCCCAAAGUGAGGGAUAAGCACCGGAAACGGUGUCUAAUACCGCAUAUGGUCUUCGGAUUAAAGCAGCAAUGCGCUAUGGGAACGGCCUGCGUCGGAUUAGCUAGUUGGUGAGGUAAUGGCUCACCAAGGCGACGAUCCGUAGCUGGUCUGAGAGGAUGAUCAGCCAGACUGGAACUGAGACACGGUCCAGACUCCUACGGGAGGCAGCAGUUAGGAAUCUUCCACAAUGGGGGCAACCCUGAUGGAGCAACACCGCGUGCUGGAUGAAGGCCUUCGGGUCGUAAACAGCUUUUGUAUACGAAGAAUAUGACGGUAAUAUACGAAUAAGGGUCGGCUAACUACGUGCCAGCAGCCGCGGUCAUACGUAGGACCCAAGCGUUAUCCGGAGUGACUGGGCGUAAAGAGUUGCGUAGGCGGCUUAUUAAGCGAGUAGUGAAAUCUGGUGGCUCAACCAUCAACACAUUGCUCGAACUGAUAGGCUUGAGAAUGGUAGAGGUAGUUGGAAUUUCUUGUGUAGGAGUGAAAUCCGUAGAUAUAAGAAGGAACACCAAUGGCGUAGGCAGACUACUGGACCAUUUCUGACGCUGAGGCACGAAAGCGUGGGGAGCGAACCGGAUUAGAUACCCGGGUAGUCCACGCCGUAAACGAUGGAUGCUAGCUGUGGGGGGUAUCGACCCCCUCCGUAGCGAAGCUAACGCGUUAAGCAUCCCGCCUGUGGAGUACGGGCCGCAAGGCUAAAACAUAAAGGAAUUUG